CAAGUAGUCAUCUUCUAAUACCUGAUAAGUUUGGUUUUCACCAUCUUUGUGUAUAUGUUUUUAUAAUUAAUGAUAUGUGAUUCUACUGCAGUUAUUUACAUUAUAUAACAAUAACACGCAUAAAUCAUGUCCAAGGAACUGCUUGUUAAGGUGCAGUUUGUUUGCCUAGGUGUGAUAUAUUUGAACUCAUUGAUGAGCAAUUUUCUGUGUUAUGCACAGUGCCCAUCCUUGUCAAUUGGUG
Molecule: unclassified non-coding RNA, 241 nt
Filed under: Hevea brasiliensis (rubber tree)
Lineage: Eukaryota; Viridiplantae; Streptophyta; Magnoliopsida; Malpighiales; Euphorbiaceae
Source: RNAcentral